AACGCACCUUGCGCCCUUUGGUAUUCCGAAGGGCAUGCCUGUUUGAGUGUCGUGAACCUCUCAACCCCCUCGUUUUGUAAUGAUUUGAGCGCGGGCUUGGACUGUGGUCGCCUGUCGGUCUCUAACGGGAUCGGCUCGACUGAAAUACAUGAGCGUACAUGUUCUCGGUAGCAGUAGCUUUAUCUUGGCGUAAUAAUACAUUCGUUGAGAUUGUCUACGCAGUGUUCCGAAAGCAGCGGCGCUUCAUAAUGCCCGGCUUCAUUAAUUCUUAGUGAACCGAAUUUUAAGUCAUAGACCUCAGAUCAGGCAGGACUACCCGCUGAACUUAA
Molecule: unclassified non-coding RNA, 329 nt
Filed under: uncultured fungus
Lineage: Eukaryota; Fungi
Description: sequence contains ITS2
Rfam family: 5.8S ribosomal RNA (bases 1-52)
Source: RNAcentral